GGAAUAUUGGACAAUGGGCGCAAGCCUGAUUCAGCCAUACCGCGUGGGUGAAGAAGGCCUUCGGGUUGUAAAGCCCUUUUGUUGGGAAAGAAAUCCUGCCGGUUAAUAACCAGUAGGGAUGACGGUACCCAAAGAAUAAGCACAGGCUAACUUCGUGCCAGCAGCCGCGGACAUACGAAGGGUGCAAGCGUUACUCGGAAUUACUGGGCGUAAAGCGUUCGUAGGUGGUUGUUUAAGUCUGUUGUUAAAGCCCUGGGCUCAACCUGGGAAUUGCAAUGGAUACUGGGCGACUAGAGUGUGGUAGAGGACAGUGGAAUUUCCGGUGUAGCAGUGAAAUGCGUAGAGAUCGGAAGGAACAUCUGUGGCGAAGGCGACUGUCUGGGCCAACACUGACACUGAGGCACGAAAGCGUGGGGAGCAAAC
This 423-nucleotide ribosomal RNA is filed under the name uncultured bacterium. Its description in RNAcentral is "bacterial SSU rRNA". It matches the Rfam family "Bacterial small subunit ribosomal RNA", at positions 358 to 773 of the family's 1533-position model. The record is from RNAcentral.